Molecule: ribosomal RNA, 1431 nt
Filed under: uncultured organism
Description: 16S ribosomal RNA
Rfam family: Bacterial small subunit ribosomal RNA
Source: RNAcentral
CAGGCUUAACACAUGCGAGUCGAGGGGCAGCAUGGUCUUAGCUUGCUAAGGCCGAUGGCGACCGGCGCACGGGUGAGUAACAUGUAUCCAACCUGCCGUCUACUCUUGGACAGCCUUCUGAAAGGAAGAUUAAUACAAGAUGGCAUCAUGAGUCCGCAUGUUCACAUGAUUAAAGGUAUUCCGGUAGACGAUGGGGAUGCGUUCCAUUAGAUAGUAGGCGGGGUAACGGCCCACCUAGUCUUCGAUGGAUAGGGGUUCUGAGAGGAAGGUCCCCCACAUUGGAACUGAGACACGGUCCAAACUCCUACGGGAGGCAGCAGUGAGGAAUAUUGGUCAAUGGGCGAGAGCCUGAACCAGCCAAGUAGCGUGAAGGAUGACUGCCCUAUGGGUUGUAAACUUCUUUUAUAAAGGAAUAAAGUCGGGUAUGCAUACCCGUUUGCAUGUACUUUAUGAAUAAGGAUCGGCUAACUCCGUGCCAGCAGCCGCGGUAAUACGGAGGAUCCGAGCGUUAUCCGGAUUUAUUGGGUUUAAAGGGAGCGUAGAUGGAUGUUUAAGUCAGUUGUGAAAGUUUGCGGCUCAACCGUAAAAUUGCAGUUGAUACUGGAUAUCUUGAGUGCAGUUGAGGCAGGCGGAAUUCGUGGUGUAGCGGUGAAAUGCUUAGAUAUCACGAAGAACUCCGAUUGCGAAGGCAGCCUGCUAAGCUGCAACUGACAUUGAGGCUCGAAAGUGUGGGUAUCAAACAGGAUUAGAUACCCUGGUAGUCCACACGGUAAACGAUGAAUACUCGCUGUUUGCGAUAUACGGCAAGCGGCCAAGCGAAAGCGUUAAGUAUUCCACCUGGGGAGUACGCCGGCAACGGUGAAACUCAAAGGAAUUGACGGGGGCCCGCACAAGCGGAGGAACAUGUGGUUUAAUUCGAUGAUACGCGAGGAACCUUACCCGGGCUUAAAUUGCAGAUGAAUUACGGUGAAAGCCGUAAGCCGCAAGGCAUCUGUGAAGGUGCUGCAUGGUUGUCGUCAGCUCGUGCCGUGAGGUGUCGGCUUAAGUGCCAUAACGAGCGCAACCCUUGUUGUCAGUUACUAACAGGUUCCGCUGAGGACUCUGACAAGACUGCCAUCGUAAGAUGUGAGGAAGGUGGGGAUGACGUCAAAUCAGCACGGCCCUUACGUCCGGGGCUACACACGUGUUACAAUGGGGGGUACAGAGGGCCGCUACCACGCGAGUGGAUGCCAAUCCCAAAAACCUCUCUCAGUUCGGACUGGAGUCUGCAACCCGACUCCACGAAGCUGGAUUCGCUAGUAAUCGCGCAUCAGCCACGGCGCGGUGAAUACGUUCCCGGGCCUUGUACACACCGCCCGUCAAGCCAUGGGAGCCGGGGGUACCUGAAGUGCGUAACCGCGAGGAGCGCCCUAGGGUAAAACUGGUGACUGG